This 498-nucleotide ribosomal RNA is filed under the name uncultured bacterium. RNAcentral's name for it is "partial 16S ribosomal RNA". It matches the Rfam family "Bacterial small subunit ribosomal RNA", at positions 28 to 507 of the family's 1533-position model. The record is from RNAcentral.
GACGAACGCUGGCGGCGUGCCUAAUACAUGCCAGUCGAACGAGAGCGACCGGUGCUUGCACUGGUCAAUCUAGUGGCGAACGGGUGAGUAACACGUGGGUAACCUGCCCAUCAGAGGGGGAUAACAUCCGGAAACGGAUGCUAAAACCGCAUAGGUCUUCGAACCGCAUGGUUUGAAGAGGAAAAGAGGCGCAAGCUUCUGCUGAUGGAUGGACCCGCGGUGCAUUAGCUAGUUGGUGAGGUAACGACUCACCAAGGCCGUGAUGCAUAGCCGACCUGAGAGGGUGAUCGGCCACAUUGGGACUGAGACACGGCCCAAACUCCUACGGGAGGCAGCAGUAGGGAAUCUUCCGCAAUGGACGCAAGUCUGACGGAGCAACGCCGCGUGAGUGAAGAAGGUUUUCGGAUCGUAAAACUCUGUUGUUAGAGAAGAACAAGUGCUAGAGUAACUGUUAGCGCCUUGACGGUAUCUAACCAGAAAGCCACGGCUAACUACGUG